UGGGGAAUAUUGCACAAUGGGGGAAACCCUGAUGCAGCAACGCCGCGUGAGUGAAGAAGUAUUUCGGUAUGUAAAGCUCUAUCAGCAGGAAAGAAAAUGACGGUACCUGACUAAGAAGCCCCGGCUAACUACGUGCCAGCAGCCGCGGUAAUACGUAGGGGGCAAGCGUUAUCCGGAUUUACUGGGUGUAAAGGGAGCGUAGACGGUUUUGCAAGUCUGAAGUGAAAGCCCGGGGCUUAACCCCGGGACUGCUUUGGAAACUGUAGAACUAGAGUGCAGGAGAGGUAAGUGGAAUUCCUAGUGUAGCGGUGAAAUGCGUAGAUAUUAGGAGGAACACCAGUGGCGAAGGCGGCUUACUGGACUGUAACUGACGUUGAGGCUCGAAAGCGUGGGGAGCAAACA
This 402-nucleotide ribosomal RNA is filed under the name uncultured prokaryote. RNAcentral describes it as "bacterial SSU rRNA". It matches the Rfam family "Bacterial small subunit ribosomal RNA", at positions 355 to 774 of the family's 1533-position model. The record is from RNAcentral.